GACGAACGCUGGCGGCGUGCUUAACACAUGCAAGUCGAACGGAAAGGCCCCUUUGGGGGUACUCGAGUGGCGAACGGGUGAGUAACACGUGAGUAACCUGCCCUUGACUUCGGGAUAACUUCAGGUAACUGGGGCUAAUACCGGAUAGGAAUCCUUGCUGCAUGGUGGGGGUUGGAAAGCUUCGGCGGUUUUGGCUGGACUCGCGGCUUAUCGGCUUGUUGGUGGGGUAAUGGCUUACCAAGGCUUUGACGGGUAGCCGGCCUGAGAGGGCGACCGGCCACAUUGGGACUGAGAGGCGGCCCAGAUUCCUACGGGAGGCAGCAGUGGGGAAGAUUGCACAAUGGGCGGAAGCCGGAUGCAGCAACGCCGCGGGCGGGAUGACGGCCUUCGGGUUGAAAACCGAUUUCAGCAGGGGCGAAGCUUGUGGUGACGGUACCUGCAGAAGAAGCACCGGCUAACUACGUG
RNAcentral lists this ribosomal RNA (465 nucleotides) under uncultured bacterium. Its description in RNAcentral is "partial 16S ribosomal RNA". It matches the Rfam family "Bacterial small subunit ribosomal RNA", at positions 28 to 507 of the family's 1533-position model. The record is from RNAcentral.